Molecule: ribosomal RNA, 481 nt
Filed under: uncultured bacterium
Lineage: Bacteria
Description: bacterial SSU rRNA
Rfam family: Bacterial small subunit ribosomal RNA
Source: RNAcentral
UUCUGGCUCAGGACGAACGCUGGCGGCGUGCUUCAUACAUGCAAGUCGAACGAUAAGGCACCUUCGGGUGUACAUAAGUGGCGGACGGGUGAGUAAUAUGUAGAGAAUCUGCCCUAGAGCGGGGACAACCGUUGGAAACGACAGCUAAUACCCCAUAUGAGCGUAGUUGAAAUACUAUUCUUGAAAACUCCGGUGCUCUGGGAUGAGUCUGCAUCUGAUUAGCUAGUUGGGGGUGUAAUGGACCACCAAGGCGAUGAUCAGUAGCUGGUUUGAGAGGAUGAUCAGCCACAAUGGGACUGAGACACGGCCCAUACUCCUACGGGAGGCAGCAGUAGGGAAUUUUACGCAAUGGGGGAAACCCUGAACCGCAGCAACGCCGCGUGACCGAUGAAGCCCUUCGGGGUGUAAAGGUCUGUCAGUGGGGACGAAUUCUGACGGUACCCACAGAGGAAGCACCGGCUAACUCCGUGCCAGCCGCUGC